This 474-nucleotide ribosomal RNA is filed under the name uncultured prokaryote. RNAcentral's name for it is "bacterial SSU rRNA". The stretch from base 59 to 474 matches the Rfam family "Bacterial small subunit ribosomal RNA", at positions 1 to 905 of the family's 1533-position model. The record is from RNAcentral.
GUGACACAACUAACGCUUAAAGUUAUCCGCCUGGGGAGUACGGCCGUAAGAUUAAAACUCAAAGGAUUUGACGGUACCUCAAAGCAAUGGACUGCAUCUCUCCCGAAUGUAGUCCGGAUCAAUGGAGUGUACAGCGACCCCAAGCAGUUAAAUGAAUCUGAAGUUAAUGGCUGUGGCUUAACCAUAGUAUGCUUUGGAAACUGUUUAACUUGAGUGCAGAAGGGGAGAGUGGAAUUCCAUGUGUAGCGGUGAAAUGCGUAGAUAUAUGGAGGAACACCGGUGGCGAAAGCGGCUCUCUGGUCUGUAACUGACGCUGAGGCUCGAAAGCGUGGGGAGCAAACAGGAUUAGAUACCCUGGUAGUCCACGCCGUAAACGAUGAGUGCUAGGUGUUAGGCCCUUUCCGGGGCUUAGUGCCGCAGCUAACGCAUUAAGCACUCCGCCUGGGGAGUACGACCGCAAGGUUGAAACUCAAA